UGUUUUUGUUAUUUUUGAUAUAUUUUUGUAAUAAUUCAUCCAUGCACUACCGCACCUUCUCCAUGAAUGGGGGAGAAAUAAAACAAAGCACCCGGUGAAGAACUCCUGAGUCCAUGUCUCCUCCUUCCACCAUGGGGCUAAACCUUACAGCUAUAUUAAGUUGAACGCAUCAUUGUGUAAAAUGCGCAAACAAAUAUUUUUUCCCGGGAGAGUUGCAGUUACAUUUCGCAAGGGACCUCUGGGGUAUCUUUGUCAGGAACUAAUUCUGCAAAAGUCAUUAAAGACAAUCCAUCUCUCCAGGACAAGUCUGCACCUGUAAAGGAGGAGCUGGUCAGGCAAAAUGCACUCAGUGUUGUCCGUCAGAGAGAUGGGGAUGCCUCAGAUAAAUCUGAGGUGGCUGGAGAAUACAUCCUGCGGUUUGGGAAAUACAAGGGGAAGUCCUUCCGCUGGCUUCUUGAAAAUGAUAUAGGGUAUAGGGUAUACCAUCUACCUAAUCAGGAACAAGGUAAAGGAGGAGGCUGCAGGAGUGUUUAUAGCAGAGGGGCACAGCAAGGACAGCCUACUGUCAUCGUGCCAACAACACCUGGCGAGAGAUUUGGGACAGCAGGGAUGAUGGCUUUAUACUGAAAAAAAUGCUGUGCUUCAGGGACAAGGACGCACAAGCUACAGCAAUACCUGAAGAAGAAGCUGCCCUCACCACCCUCUGGCUCUUCUCUGAUGACACAUACGUCAAAUGCUCCUGCUGAAGCCAUGGUGAUGGAUGAAGAUGAAGAGCUGGAGAGAGUGAUGCUGAGCAUUUCUCCUACCAAGCAACAUGAGCAAAGCUCUGUUUCUGCACCAGCAUCAUCAACUGCCAGACCACCACAGGCUUCUGGAACAGAUAGAGGUUCUUAACCAAAACGUCCUGCAUCAGCAGACAACUCUGGGACCAUGAAUUCUUAUCCCAAUAUGAAGCAUGACUUAAAGCUUUUCAUCUCACGUUGACCAUGUUCUGGUCAUGUUUGUGUUUUGGUGUUCUACCUAUUGUCCUAGUGACUGUGAAUUGAAACCAGUCAUGAUGAGGCCCUGCCAACUGUAAGGAGACCUGUGCCCCUUCCUCAGGAGCUGAGGUUUCUGAUGCCAAAAACAGCAGGUCCUCAGCCAACAGAGACAACUGUAACAGUUCCAGAUACUGUUCCACAGUUUCCAAGGGGAGUACGACUACCAGUGUGCCAGUUGUUACCAUGCCUGCUGCAGUUGUUAAUCCACCACCAGCAGUGCAGACUCUGGCCACACUUCUAACUCAAGACUCUAUUGAGAAAAUAGUUAAAAACAUAAUGGACAAGCAGCAGCAACAACAGCCGGAACAAAAAAGGCACAGACAAAAACAUGUCUUUCCUGUGGCUUUUAUAAGUCAGAAAAACUGAGGUGGGAGGUCGAAAAGGGAAAA
Perca flavescens (yellow perch) is the source of this 1429-nucleotide long non-coding RNA. RefSeq lists it as uncharacterized. The transcript is spliced from 6 exons. The record is from RefSeq and is a predicted model, not a curated record. Lineage: Eukaryota; Metazoa; Chordata; Actinopteri; Perciformes; Percidae.